Molecule: transfer RNA, 71 nt
Filed under: Deferribacter thermophilus
Lineage: Bacteria; Pseudomonadati; Deferribacterota; Deferribacteres; Deferribacterales; Deferribacteraceae
Also listed under: 2 other names
Description: tRNA-Cys
Rfam family: tRNA
About the family: Transfer RNA (tRNA) molecules are approximately 80 nucleotides in length. Their secondary structure includes four short double-helical elements and three loops (D, anti-codon, and T loops). Further hydrogen bonds mediate the characteristic L-shaped molecular structure. tRNAs have two regions of fundamental functional importance: the anti-codon, which is responsible for specific mRNA codon recognition, and the 3' end, to which the tRNAs corresponding amino acid is attached (by aminoacyl-tRNA synthetases). tRNAs cope with the degeneracy of the genetic code in two manners: having more than one tRNA (with a specific anti-codon) for a particular amino acid; and 'wobble' base-pairing, i.e. permitting non-standard base-pairing at the 3rd anti-codon position.
Source: RNAcentral
GGCGACGUGGCCGAGUGGUUAGGCAGCGGUCUGCAAAAUCGCGUACCCCGGUUCGAUUCCGGGCGUCGCCU